This is a non-coding RNA of Peromyscus maniculatus bairdii (prairie deer mouse), 4534 nucleotides long. The record is from RefSeq and is a predicted model, not a curated record. NCBI's taxonomy places the organism in Eukaryota, Metazoa, Chordata, Mammalia, Rodentia, Cricetidae.
GAGACCAGAGAUGCCCCAGGUUGAAGCCGGCAGAGAAAGGGAGACACCAACACAAAACAACCCUGUCUGGAUGUACUACAGCCAGCAGGGCCGAGGACACUACUCAAAAGUCUUGGGAAAGACCCUCAUAAAACAAAACUGAAAUGUCUGAAGUUGAUAUUGUUAGCAAACAGCCAAAGAGCAACUGAGGGAGAGUGGCUCAUGGCCACAAGACAGAAAAGCUGUUCCAAACCAAGAUGGAAAGGAAACUGGUCUUAGGUGAAGCUCGGAAUUCAAGGGUGUGAUCUGGAUCAGAGCCGGUCAUUUAAGGGACAGCAAGGGAGGAUGAAAGCCUGUCAUUGUUUUCGAAUUGUGUACUUACUCCCCCCGACCCACCCCCAAAAAAAAAUGCAGGCGAAAAGAAAAAAUAUUUGGGAGUUUUUAAGCUCAGUGGACCCCUUGACCUAAACUUGUGCUUACAAGUUCAGCAUAUUUCUAAGCUGUCUAUCAAAAACCAUUUAGAAGAAUUCGGCCUUCUGAAGGCUUCCAGGCCUGAAGCUGUGGGCAAGAUUCUUUCAUGAAGAGAUUGGCUUCCUCCCAAGACUGGAAAAAUGGAGGUCGACGGCUCUUUCUUCUAACAGGGUGAAGACGGAAAAAGACAACGCAUGCCUCAGCGAGCUGGAGGUUCCUGUGAACCCCGAGAGGGGCAGGAUAAAAGCAGGGUGACCUGAAACUAUCAUGAAAAAUUCUGCAGCAGAAUUCCUUUGCCCACUCUCCCUUGGUUUCCGUUGCCUGGAGCACAGAAUAGCCAGAUACUUGGCUUUGGCAGAGACACACAAACUCUUGGGCAACACAGUCUUCAACAGAGCAGAAUUGAUUGUACUUCUAUCAGCCUCAAUCAGUCGAGGCCGAAGUGACACAUAGCUGGGUGAGGUUCCAAAGGGACAGAGGAAACAGUUGCAGGGGCAAGGUGGCUCUGAAUUAAUGAUGGCUGACUUGUUUGUGCGGAAGGGCGGUCUCUGGCAGAAGACCAGGCAACUCUCAUGUGGUGUCAACAGGCAAAAAACCCAUUUCAGAGAUGAGAAAGUCGAUUAACGUACGGCGGAAAGAGGGGAGCGGGCUUCCCUCUCAGAGUAACAGUCAAGUCCAUGGAGGGAAGGAGCUGAGUGUGUUCAAAGCCUUGUUCACCUGAUCAGACACACCCGCCCACGGUACUUGAGAACCUAGAAAACCCAUUUUCAUACAGCAGUGGAAACAGACCACCAACGGUGAAGUAAAAUCUGUACUGAUCAAUGGUGGUAAACGCUCACUAUAAAAACAAAUUUGGGAACUGUAAGCAAAAUGUUGGAACAGAAGUAGGAAAACUUGAUGCUUGUGGAGUUAAGUCUAGAGAAGACACCCAAAGAUGUGACACCCCAGAAAAGGCCUGAGGAAAGAGAGCAAGGUGUCCGGGAAGGCUGCCUACGACCCUAUUGCUCAGUGCAUGCAAAACAUCCAGGGGACGGGAGUCUGAACUCCCACUCACGGCCGCUCCAUUAGAGUGUUCUCCAGAAAUCUCAGCAGACAUCACUGAUGGGAGAAAAGGAAUCAGCCCUCCAAUGAAAUUCUGUUGGUUCAUUAAGAAUGCCAACCUGAGGGGAGUGGUGGCACAGGCCUCUAAUCCCAGCACCAGCACGGGGGAGGCAGAGGUGGGAUGAAAGCCUUGCAUGCAUAGUGAGUCUCAUGUUAGCCAGGGCUACAUAAAAAACCCACUAACCUAAGCAAUAUGCCACAACCACUCUGCAUUAUCAUUUAGAACAAAUAAACAGGCCCUAGUGGGAGAAAAAAAAAAAAAGGUGGGGGGUUCUGAAAAAAAAUUAGUUUGUUGAUAUCACUAGUUACUUAGGACCACACCAAGCUAAGACUGUAGGGAAAUCACUUUUUCUAAACCCGAUCAUGCGCGAUGCCAGAUGGGUUCUAAAACUCAGAUUUCUAAGUCGGAUUGGGACUUGGCUUCAAAGCUAACAUUCCUGUUUUUGUUAGCUCUGAAGGAAAGCAUUUCAAAAGAGUCUACACACAUGCUUCUACCAACCUCCAUUGGUGAAACACAGUCUAUUAACUACCAUUUAUCAACCUAACACAUGUAAGUUUACUGUGGAAAUAAGCAAUAGAGACUUCCAGAUCAUCAAACACACGGUGCCACUGUUAAAUACUGAGUUCCUAUCAAGUCCUACCUAUCUGUCUUCCUUUGGAAGAAACAUUUGCCUAACAUGGUCCCUCCCUCUCCCGAUGAAAUUGCUGCUACUGACCAAUUUUUCACCUUCCAAAAACAAUGACUUCAUGUUGGGCCUAAUGAGAAAAUAUAGGGAAUGAUCCUCUAGUAACCUGCCCUUCAACAUAAAUUACGGAGCUUCUCUGAAAAGGGAGAUGAAAAACUAUUUUAAUUAUGACAAUAAUUUAAUCUCCUGCAGCCGAAUGUAGCCCAUCCCCACACUAGACUCUCCAUGGAUGCCUGGCAUUCCCCACCCUAAAUGUGUGACUCUUUUCUCAGCUCUGACUUUCUCUUGGAAAAAAUUCCUGUGAAGCAUACAUCUUGAUACUAAAGGAUCUACGCAUGUAACUAAACGUCCCAUAAAAUGAAAAUACUACAAAACAGGUCCCUGAUUAUAAAAUUCCAAUUAUUAAGCAUAAAAACAGCGUACAAACAUAUUUGGUAGGCAUGCCUUCCUUGGCUAGCAACGGCUGCCUCGAGUCUCGUGAAAUACACUAUUCUUCCUGCAGACAUUCACACUGUGAAAUCGGACCCUCGGAGAAACACCUGUUUCAGGUAACCUGUCUCAGGUAGCCUCCCUCUCACAAGGAAGAGGCAUUGUUGGGUUAGAGAGCUGGUCUCUGAGAAACUCCCUCAGGUGAGCAAUACCCCGAUGCCAGCCACCCAGGCUGUGGCCCAGGCACGCCUGCCGCUGCACAGAGCCCUGUCUCUGAGACGGCUCUAGCUGUUUACAGUGUUGUCUCUACAAUCCAAGCGGUAGGGUGGAGUUAUGAAACAUUCUAGAAGGGAGCUCUGGAAAUGGUCUGAAGUGUUUCAUUCCUAGCUCCAGAGAGCAAAUUGGCACAUUAAGAGAUGAACAUGUGUUAUUCAAUUUUUUUUUCUAUGUGAAGUUUUUAAUCCACACCGACACUGGCAUUCUUACCUAUUAACCAUUUAAAAGAGCAUGCUGCUAAAAACAGGUUCAUAAAUACAUGUGAGUGCAACUUGAAACGCCACACGCCUGCUGACUGGUUGAUGAAAAAUUCUAAGAUCAUCAAUUAGGACUCUUGAUGUACAUAAUUUUCUCACAGUCUUAAAAACUGGAUGCCAAGUAAUUCGCCUCUUAUGCAAUGAACAAUAAUCACAUUUUUCGGUGUUGUGUCUAUGACCCCUUAAAUUCAAUUACAGUUCAGAGCAGUUCCUCUCAUUUGCUCAGACCUACAGUGUGCUGAGCACGCAUCACCUCCGUGUAUUCCACAAAACGCUUAAAAGGCCAAAGAAACAGUGUUUCUGCCCCAUUACUCUCCAGAAAGCCUCAUUAGAAUUCAGAUACUGUAUGCGAUGAAGGCCGGGAGCGGAGCCCAGGAUGGCAAAAUCCCCUGAAAAUCCAGCAAGAGGCAACCUGCUGCCCUAGAAGAGGAAGGCCUCUCCCACCGGGGCGAGGGCCUCAAAAAAAUCAGGCUUUCCCAACCUUACCUGGUACGAGCAGUUCUCCUGAUGUACCAUCUCAGAGCAUCCUAGGGCGCAGACCCUAAAGCUGGGCUGCUGGGCGAGGCUGCGCAGGGGAAGCGCCGAGCAUCCACAGGCGCGGGAGAACGCCCUGGUUAGGCAGGGGCUCCCCGCAGAUUAAAAUGGAUGCUGUUCCGCUGAGCAACCUGCGCAGUGGCAACUGCCUGUGCUGGGAAGCGGCGCAGCCACCGAGCUCGCUCGCUCCCUCGCUCUGCAGCCUCUGAGCUGCUCUGCUUCUCAGGAACCCGGAGGCAGGCUGCUGAGCCGAGCUGGGACCGGCCUGGGGGAGGGGGCGGGCGCAUCACCCGCACAAUCAGCCAAUUAUAUUAUAGGCACAAAGAAAAGGAUCUGUCUGGGGCUGGUGUGACCUUCUGGUGCUUUAUGAAGGCAGUUAACUGAUGUGGAAACAUUCUAGUACUCAUUAAAGAGAAAAAGGCCAGCGAGGGAGAGAGAGAGAGAGAGAGACAGACACAAAUCAAUGCUGCAGUUGGACAUUCCUAACUUGCGGCUGCAGCAUCCUUCCUAACCACUAAUGCUGCUCACCGUUGGUGCUUAUGAAAGCCAGGCCUUAAGGAUCCUUUCAGAACUUUUAACAUGCUAAAGGGAAAACAGUCCAUUCUGAAUACUAACACGCAAGGUUUGUAUUCAUGCUUCGGAAACCCGUUUUUAAAGUAUCUUGUCAACUUUCUAACUAGAGGGCUUUCUUUAUGUAUUAUUUUGUAAUUUACAAAAACGAUUCUUAACUGUUUUUAAGUCAAACAAAAGAUAUAAUGGAACCAUUAUUUCUAUAAUUUCGGGGUAAGUUUAUUAAAAUGU